UUAGGAAUCCUGUGUAAUAAACAAUGAACCCUCUUACAUAAUCCUUGGUAGUGUGGUUGGUCACCCCUAUAAUGUACAUGUACUUCAGUUAGCAGACUGGCAGCGCAAGGGGAACACCCACACUUGUUCUCCCUUCCCAAGCUUUGAUUUUUACUCUAUAAGUUUUGCCUGCUUCAAGACCUUACUGCUAUAUGGACUCGGUUUGAAAGCCAUUUUGAUUUUAAUCUGUAACUUUCUUUGGCACUGUGUUUUUAAUUGUUUCAAUUCUGGGUUUCGUUUAAUAGUUUUACUGUGUGUUGGUCUUGGUUAAGGUUACACUGGUUUGGCUUUUGGUCAUUGCUUUAGUAUCAAUAAAGUUAUUUUUCUUAUUUUUGUUUAUUGAGGAAACCUA
Molecule: long non-coding RNA, 391 nt
Organism: Patiria miniata (bat star)
Lineage: Eukaryota; Metazoa; Echinodermata; Asteroidea; Valvatida; Asterinidae
Exons: 2
Source: RefSeq, a predicted model, not a curated record